UACAGAGGUGCCAAGCGUUAGGCGGAAUCACUGGGCGUAAAGGGCGCGUAGGCGGCUUUGGCAGUCGGUUUGUGAAAGCCCGGGGCUCAACUCCGGAUCUGCGGUGGGUACGGGCAGACUAGAGUGAUGUAGGGGAGACUGGAAUUCCUGGUGUAGCGGUGAAAUGCGCAGAUAUCAGGAGGAACACCGAUGGCGAAGGCAGGUCUCUGGGCAUUAACUGACGCUGAGGAGCGAAAGCAUGGGGAGCGAACAGG
Molecule: ribosomal RNA, 254 nt
Filed under: uncultured bacterium
Lineage: Bacteria
Description: partial 16S ribosomal RNA
Rfam family: Bacterial small subunit ribosomal RNA
Source: RNAcentral